AUUGAACGCUGGCGGCAUGCUUUACACAUGCAAGUCGAACGGUAACAGGCCGCAAGGUGCUGACGAGUGGCGAACGGGUGAGUAAUGCAUCGGAACGUGCCCAGUCGUGGGGGAUAACGCAGCGAAAGCUGUGCUAAUACCGCAUACGAUCUAUGGAUGAAAGCGGGGGACCGUAAGGCCUCGCGCGAUUGGAGCGGCCGAUGUCAGAUUAGCUAGUUGGUGGGGUAAAGGCCCACCAAGGCGACGAUCUGUAGCUGGUCUGAGAGGACGACCAGCCACACUGGGACUCAGACACGGCCCAGACUCCGACGGGAGGCAGCAGUGGGGAAUUUUGGACAAUGGGCGCAAGCCUGAUCCAGCAAUGCCGCGUGCAGGAAGAAGGCCUUCGGGUUGUAAACUGCUUUUGUACGGAACGAAACGGUCUGGGUUAAUACCCUGGGCUAAUGACGGUACCGUAAGAAUAAGCACCGGCUAACUACGUGCCAGCCGCCGCCGCGG
This 498-nucleotide ribosomal RNA is filed under the name uncultured bacterium. RNAcentral describes it as "partial 16S ribosomal RNA". It matches the Rfam family "Bacterial small subunit ribosomal RNA", at positions 29 to 523 of the family's 1533-position model. The record is from RNAcentral.